AUUGAACGCUGGCGGCAUGCCUUACACAUGCAAGUCGAACGGUAACGGGCCUUCGGGUGCCGACGAGUGGCGGACGGGUGCGUAAUACAUCGGAACGUGCCCGACCGUGGGGGAUAACGAGGCGAAAGCUUUGCUAAUACCGCAUACGAUCUACGGAUGAAAGCAGGGGACCGCAAGGCCUUGCGCGGACGGAGCGGCCGAUGGCAGAUUAGGUAGUUGGUGGGAUAAAAGCUUACCAAGCCGACGAUCUGUAGCUGGUCUGAGAGGAUGAUCAGCCACACUGGGACUGAGACACGGCCCAGACUCCUACGGGAGGCAGCAGUGGGGAAUUUUGGACAAUGGGCGCAAGCCUGAUCCAGCCAUGCCGCGUGCAGGAUGAAGGCCUUCGGGUUGUAAACUGCUUUUGUACGGAACGAAAAGCCUUCUUUUAAUACAGGGGGGUCAUGACGGUACCGUAAGAAUAAGCACCGGCUAACUACGUG
This 482-nucleotide ribosomal RNA is filed under the name uncultured bacterium. Its description in RNAcentral is "partial 16S ribosomal RNA". It matches the Rfam family "Bacterial small subunit ribosomal RNA", at positions 30 to 507 of the family's 1533-position model. The record is from RNAcentral.